GGCUUUAUAGUCAAUGAUGAUAUUAGACUGCAAUUCUAAAGGAGUAAAAAUUUUUACUAAGGCUU
This 65-nucleotide transfer RNA is filed under the name Peltoperlopsis cebuano. Its description in RNAcentral is "tRNA-Cys". Lineage: Eukaryota; Metazoa; Arthropoda; Insecta; Plecoptera; Peltoperlidae. The record is from RNAcentral.